Molecule: ribosomal RNA, 441 nt
Filed under: Acanthamoeba sp.
Lineage: Eukaryota; Discosea; Longamoebia; Acanthamoebidae
Description: SSU rRNA
Rfam family: Eukaryotic small subunit ribosomal RNA (bases 1-376)
Source: RNAcentral
GUUUACCGUGACGAAAUUAGAGUGUUCAAAGCAGGCAGAUCCAAUUUUCUGCCACCGAAUACAUUAGCAUGGGAUAAUGGAAUAGGACCCUGUCCUCCUAUUUUCAGUUGGUUUGCCGCGAGGACCAGGGUAAUGAUUAAUAGGGAUAGUUGGGGGCAUUAAUAUUUAAUUGUCAGAGGUGAAAUUCUUGGAUUUAUGAAAGAUUAACUUCUGCGAAAGCAUCUGCCAAGGAUGUUUUCAUUAAUCAAGAACGAAAGUUAGGGGAUCGAAGACGAUCAGAUACCGUCGUAGUCUUAACCAUAAACGAUGCCGACCAGCGAUUAGGAGACGUUGAAUACAAAACACCACCAUGCGAUUGCGGUCGUCUUUGGUGUCGCUCACAAGGCGGCAUCGGGACGGCUUAGCUCGCAUGGCACCGGUGAAUGACUCCCUAGCAUUGAC